GUGAGGAAUAUUGCGCAAUGGGGGAAACCCUGACGCAGCGAUGCCGCGUGAGUGAAGAAGGCCUUCGGGUCGUAAAGCUCUGUCAAGUGGGAAGAAUAGCGGCGGGACGAAUAAUCCCGUCGUAUGACGGUACCACUGAAGGAAGCACCGGCUAACUCCGUGCCAGCAGCCGCGGUAAGACGGAGGGUGCAAGCGUUAUUCGGAUUUAUUGGGCGUAAAGAGCGUGUAGGCGGCCGGUCAAGCCAGAUGUGAAAGCCCAGGGCUUAACCCUGGAAGUGCAUUUGGAACUGGUUGGCUUGAGUUCGGGAGAGGGAAGUGGAAUUCCGGGUGUAGAGGUGAAAUUCGUAGAUAUCCGGAGGAACACCGGUGGCGAAGGCGACUUCCUGGACCGAAACUGACGCUGAGACGCGAAAGCGUGGGGAGCAAACAGGAUUAGAAACCCCAGUAGUCC
This 451-nucleotide ribosomal RNA is filed under the name uncultured bacterium. RNAcentral describes it as "bacterial SSU rRNA". It matches the Rfam family "Bacterial small subunit ribosomal RNA", at positions 354 to 796 of the family's 1533-position model. The record is from RNAcentral.